This 460-nucleotide ribosomal RNA is filed under the name uncultured Treponema sp. RNAcentral's name for it is "partial 16S ribosomal RNA". It matches the Rfam family "Bacterial small subunit ribosomal RNA", at positions 341 to 792 of the family's 1533-position model. Lineage: Bacteria; Pseudomonadati; Spirochaetota; Spirochaetia; Treponematales; Treponemataceae. The record is from RNAcentral.
ACGGGAGGCAGCAGUGGGGAAUAUUGGACAAUGGGGGAAAGUCUGACGGAGCGACGCCGCGUGGAUGAUGAAGGCCGGAAGGUUGUAAAAUCCUUUUAUAACUGAGGAAUAAGUAAGGUGAGAGAAACGCCUUAUGGUGACUGUAGGUUAUGAAUAAGCAACGGCUAAUUACGUGCCAGCAGCCGCGGUAACACGUAAGUUGCGAGCGUUGUUCGGAAUUAUUGGGCGUAAAGGGCAUGUAGGCGGUUUUGCAAGCUUGGUGUGAAAUCCCGGAGCUUAACUCCGGAAUUGCGUUGAGAACUGCAUAACUAGAGUCACUGAGGGGCAAUCAGAAUUCCUGGUGUAGGGGUGAAAUCUGUAGAUAUCAGGAAGAAUACCAAUGGCGAAGGCAGGUUACCAGCAGAUGACUGACGCUGAGGUGCGAAGGUGCGGGGAGCAAACAGGAUUAGAUACCCUGGUA